CUUGAGCUGAUGAAGAUGGGCCGCGCUGGGCCCCCACUUGAGCCACACUGCAGGCCGCAGGCAGGCAAGUCUGGGGACCCCCGUUCCCAGAACGCCGACACCCUCUAAGCUUCCCUAAUUAACGCACCAUCCCCCAUAAAGCCAAAAGGAGGUGGAAAGAAGAUGGCAGGACUCGAUCCGACCUGAGAAAGGCACCGUCUUGGAAUCACCAGCGUCGACCGUGCAUUGCGUGGGGGAGGAACGGUCAGGGCAACAACGAACAUCGGAGGAGCGCAACAUAGGAACUCCAAGUCUCCCGGCACCACCUGGACAGUUUUACUUCACCGAGUUUCGAAGCUCACACAUUCGUCCGAUAGCAACCAACACAAGCGCGCCGAAUUCACACCAUGCUCUCGAUAUUUCUCUUGCAACAACACCCCAACUCAAAAGAUAAUUGGCUUUGCCGAAUCUGAGUCAACUAAGAUUUAACAAAGUCUCAGUCGAUGUGUUGUUCGUAGGAUGUGUAGGAGCCAUUGGACGUUUUUGGUUGACCGCAUUAGGCCCACACCGAGUUGGGCCAAAAAAGUAAGUGGCGACGACGGCUGGAAACCCUCCAAUGGCUGGCGACGGCGGCGACUCAGAUAUGCGCAAGCGGCGGCGGCAGAUGCGGCAACAACACUACCUGGCAGCAGAAGCUGGUGCUCCCCUUCCUGGUGGCCACUGUUGGGUCGUCCUUCACUCAUCCAUGGCCUCCCCUUCGUCGUCAUCGUAUCCGAUGCCGGUAAGCAACACCCCCUCUCCCCUAUGUUAGGUCGGUUGUUAGGAUUGAUUUCCCCAUUGCUCAACGAACCCUCGACGUCGACUAGGUUAUGGACGCACGGAUGAGGCUGGUAGUUCAGUCAGCAUCAUUGAUAGUUGUGAUUCAGGCAUGGCUCAUAAUCAUGCACAGGAGAGAUGUCCGUCGUGCUGAGGGACCUGCAAUCAGUUACGCUCCAAUGCUUAUGCGGGAGAAGGAGGGGAUCGUCAAUCUGAACUACAUCUUGCAAAGACACAGAGGCCCUGUGGAUGCUUUGAAUGAAAAGGGCGCCAUUUGUCAGAUUUUUCCAGACCUUCAGGAGCAGGAGGCUACUACAAGAUAUCAUCCAAACCAGUGUGGAAGAGCAACUGAUCAUGUUCCUCCAUGUUGUUGGCCAUAAGCAGAGGUUCAAAGUUAUGCAGAACACGUUCAUGAGAUCAGUGAAGACCAUCUCAAGGUACUUCAAGCAAGUGUUCUAUGUUGUGGGGAGCUUAGAGGAGAGAUGACCAAGUCACCAACCGGCCGGACUCCUACCAAGAUUCGCACUAGCCCAAGAUGGUAUCCAUACUUCGAGGAUUACAUUGGGGCAAUAGAUGGUACUCAUGUCACUGUUAGAGUGUUGAAGUCACAAGCUAGAGCAUACAGGGGGAGGAAGUACUACACAAGCCAGAAUGUGCUUGCUGUUGACGACUUUGAUUUGAAGUUCACCUAUGUGCUGGUUGGCUCGAAAGGGUCAGCACAUGAUGCUAACAUUAUCAGUGAUAGUAUGAGUCGUCCUAAUGGCAUCAACAUCCCCGAUGGCAAGUUCUACUAGCAGAUGCGGGCUAUGCAUGCCAGCUAGGUAUUCUUCCACCCUUCAUGAAAAACCAGAAAAUCAGUGCCAAAUGGAGUCCAAACGCUAUGAAAACGUUUUGACAUUUUUUUCUGGACAUAAGAGACCCUGGAAACUUCGGGAGGAGACCAGAGAACGUACAAGGAAAUGGCAAGGCAACAGGGCGCACCCUGGGGUGCACCCUAUUACCUCAUGGGACCUCGAGGCUCCGUCUAACCUAAUUCCACUUCAAUAAAUUCUCAAAUAUGGGGAAACCAACGAAGAGACACCCAAAACACUUUUUCCGUCGCCGCAAGUCUCUGUUCUUCCGUGAUCCCAUCUGGAAGCCUUCCUCGGUACUCUGCUGGAGGGAGAAUCAAUCAUGGAGGGCUUCUACAUCAUCCUUACCGUCUUUCGAUGAUACGUGAGUAGUUUAACACAGACCUACCGGUCCAUAGCUAGUAGCUAG
Triticum aestivum (bread wheat) is the source of this 2055-nucleotide long non-coding RNA. RefSeq lists it as uncharacterized. Lineage: Eukaryota; Viridiplantae; Streptophyta; Magnoliopsida; Poales; Poaceae. The record is from RefSeq and is a predicted model, not a curated record. The transcript is spliced from 3 exons.